GACGAACGCUGGCGGUGUGCUUAACACAUGCAAGUCGAACGGUAAGGCCCUUUCGGGGGUCCACGAGUGGCGCACGGGUGAGUAACACGUGAGUAACCUGCCCUCAUCUCUGGGAUAACAGUCGGAAACGGUUGCUAAUACUGGAUAUGAGCUUGCAAGGCAUCUUGUGGGUUGGAAAGAUUUUUUUUGGUUGGGGGUGGACUCGCGGCCUAUCAGCUUGUUGGUGAGGUAGUGGCUCACCAAGGCUUCGACGGGUAGCCGGCCUGAGAGGGCGACCGGCCACAUUGGGACUGAGAUACGGCCCAAACUCCUACGGGAGGCAGCAAGGGGGAAUAUUGCACAAUGGACGGAAGUCUGAUGCAGCAACGCCGCGUGCGGGAUGACGGCCUUCGGGUUGUAAACCGCUUUCAAUUGUGACGAAGCUUUUUUGUGACGGUAGCAGUAGAAGAAGCACCGGCUAACUACGUG
Molecule: ribosomal RNA, 468 nt
Filed under: uncultured bacterium
Lineage: Bacteria
Description: partial 16S ribosomal RNA
Rfam family: Bacterial small subunit ribosomal RNA
Source: RNAcentral